Molecule: ribosomal RNA, 609 nt
Filed under: uncultured soil bacterium
Lineage: Bacteria
Description: bacterial SSU rRNA
Rfam family: Bacterial small subunit ribosomal RNA
Source: RNAcentral
AUGCAAGUCGAACGGUGCCCUACGGGGCAUAGUGGCGGACGGGUGAGUAACACGUAGACAACCUGCCCCGAAGUGGGGAAUAACAUCUCGAAAGAGAUGCUAAUACCGCAUAAGUUCUCUCUUGUCAGGGAGAGAAGAAACCUUGGUGAGUAAUAUCACAGGGGGCUUUGGGAGGGGUCUGCGGCGGAUUAGCUAGUUGGUGAGGUAACGGCCCACCAAGGCGACGAUCCGUAGCUGGUCUGAGAGGACGGCCAGCCACACUGGGACUGAGACACGGCCCAGACUCCUACGGGAGGCAGCAGUGAGGAAUAUUCCACAAUGGGCGAAAGCCUGAUGGAGCGACGCCGCGUGAGGGAAGAAGCCUUUCGGGGUGUAAACCUCUUUUUUGGGGGAUGAUACGUCUUCUUACCUAUCCUAGCAAUAGGGUAGGAGAGAGAGGACUAAGACAGUACCCCAAGAAUAAGCCUCGGCUAACUACGUGCCAGCAGCCGCGGUAAUACGUAGGAGGCGAGCGUUGUCCGGAUUUACUGGGCGUAAAGAGCGCGCAGGCGGCACGCUAAGUACACCGUGAAAUCUCCCUGCUCAACGGGGAGGGAGCGAUGUAGACUG